RNAcentral lists this microRNA precursor (146 nucleotides) under Daucus carota subsp. sativus. Its description in RNAcentral is "sRNA DCAR_mi00054". Lineage: Eukaryota; Viridiplantae; Streptophyta; Magnoliopsida; Apiales; Apiaceae. The record is from RNAcentral.
UAGAUUAAGGCAAAAUAAAACCCAAAAAAUCUCAGACAGAUAUACACAUAUACAUGUAUAUAUGUAAAUGUCCAUCGGUUCCCGCACAUGUAUGUAUAUGUGUAUAUUUGUUUGAGAUUCUUCGGGUUUUAUUUUGUCUUAAUCUA